Non-coding RNA from Pelobates cultripes (western spadefoot toad), 397 nucleotides. The record is from the annotation of a GenBank genome assembly. NCBI's taxonomy places the organism in Eukaryota, Metazoa, Chordata, Amphibia, Anura, Pelobatidae.
CCAGAAACCAUUUAUGGUGUCAAGGUUAGCCAUCACUGGCCUAAGCAGAGAUCUUAUGCUCCCCACAAUCCUGUAUUUACUUUAUGCAGACUUGCUCUGACCGCUGUCAGAAGUGGCUCUAAGGGCAGAACAAAUAGAGGUGACAACAGGCAGCCCUGUCUUGUUACAGUUAAAAUUCUAAUCUCUUCUGUCAGGGCACCGUUUAUGCGAACCCUAGCAGUGAACUGAAAUCUGCUCUGAACAAAGAUCCCAUUUACCUCUCCCCUUUGCUUACCAAAGACUCCCUGCAUGCCCUCAGAUGUACCUGCCUCUUUCUUCAUCUGUGCAGGCAUUAGAUGCACCCUAUUGGUACUCUGCCAUACCCUUACCUGCUCCCAUUACCUCCAUCACCCUGCCC